AAUAGAUACCCAGGUAGUCCUGGCCUUAAACGAUGAUCACUAGGUGUAGGAGGCUUCGACCCCUUCUGCGCCGCCGCUAACGCAUUAAGUGAUCCGCCUGGGGAGUACGGCCGCAAGGUUAAAACUCAAAGGAAUUGACGGGGGCCCGCACAAGCAGUGGAGCAUGUGGUUUAAUUCGAUGCUACGCGAAAAACCUUACCAGGGUUUGACAUCCCGGUGAAACCCCAUAGAAAUAUGGGGCCCCUUCGGGCACCGGUGACAGGUGGUGCAUGGUUGUCGUCAGCUCGUGCCUUGAGGUGUUGGAUUAAGUUCCGCAACGAGCGCAACCCUCGUUGCUAGUUGCCAUCAUUAAGUUGGGCACUCUAGCGAGACUGCCAGCGUCAAGGCUGGAGGAAGGUGGGGAUGACGUCAAAUCAUCAUGCCCCCUUACAUCCUGGGCUACACACGUGCUACAAUGGCCGGUACAACAGGUUGCUACCUCGCGAGAGGAUGCGAAUCCCCAAAGCCGGUCUCAGUUCGGAUUGCAGGCUG
RNAcentral lists this ribosomal RNA (531 nucleotides) under uncultured bacterium. RNAcentral describes it as "bacterial SSU rRNA". It matches the Rfam family "Bacterial small subunit ribosomal RNA", at positions 777 to 1307 of the family's 1533-position model. The record is from RNAcentral.